GGGGAUAUGGCGAAAUUGGUAGACGCUACGGACUAAAAUCCGUCGACUUUAAAACUCGUGAGGGUUCAAGUCCCUCUAUCCCCA
RNAcentral lists this transfer RNA (84 nucleotides) under Hibiscus syriacus. Its description in RNAcentral is "tRNA-Leu". It matches the Rfam family "tRNA". Rfam says of the family: Transfer RNA (tRNA) molecules are approximately 80 nucleotides in length. Their secondary structure includes four short double-helical elements and three loops (D, anti-codon, and T loops). The record is from RNAcentral. Lineage: Eukaryota; Viridiplantae; Streptophyta; Magnoliopsida; Malvales; Malvaceae.